CACGCUUGGACGGGGACGAGAAUUAGAGUGGCGCCAGCGUGCUCAGUGGAGGAGGCGGAGCCGAGUACCAAGGAAGACUCCCAUCAAGGACCAGAAAGCAAUAUCUCUCAUCAUCUAACAUCAAGGCAGCUGACAGCUGGCCCCUGCCUGUCUUAUCUUUCCAACUCAAUAGCAGACAAGACCUUCCUCAGAGAGACUUGGGGAUGAGGAAUGAACACAACAUUUUGCAAAACAGCACAAAGCAGCUUGGCAUCAUGUAAAAAGAAAAGCCAGCUGUAAAAAAAAAACAACUGGAUGACUUCUUGUUGGAUCAGCUAGAUUGCACGUUACUCAUUUACAAAGGAAUAUAAAGAUGGAUGUCGUAUGUUUUCAGUGCUUGGACAAUAUUUAAG
Gopherus evgoodei (Goodes thornscrub tortoise) is the source of this 392-nucleotide long non-coding RNA. RefSeq lists it as uncharacterized. The record is from RefSeq and is a predicted model, not a curated record. The transcript is spliced from 4 exons. NCBI's taxonomy places the organism in Eukaryota, Metazoa, Chordata, Testudines, Testudinidae.